Homo sapiens (human) is the source of this 418-nucleotide long non-coding RNA. NCBI's taxonomy places the organism in Eukaryota, Metazoa, Chordata, Mammalia, Primates, Hominidae. The record is from Ensembl.
AGAAGAGCCAAGGAUUCUUCAAAGAUUCCUGGGCACUGAGAAAACAAACUCCUGAGAUUGCCAUAUGAACCCAGCCCAGCCAGCCUACUAGAGAAUGAGAGACCACAUGGGGAAGAGCUUACCAGCUUUGUCAGGAUAAAUUUUCCUCUUCGAUAGUUCUUAUAGAUUACCCUAGAAGUCUGAGAGAGAAUAAUGAGACAGAAGUUUGGAUCAAGAAACCAUUUAUUCAUUUGUCCAGCAUUUGACCAUCCAAAUUGUACAACUUUCAAAAAUCCCUAUGGCUGGAAAAGGCUUGGAGGUUUCUCUCUCCAUUACGAUUCAUGCACCUGCUUCCUCUUCUGCAACCACCCCUAACUUUCCUGCAGAACUACCAUUAGAUAAAUAAAGUUUAUUUUAUUUCAAGAUUUUUAAAGACAGG